RNAcentral lists this transfer RNA (72 nucleotides) under Marmota monax (woodchuck). RNAcentral describes it as "tRNA.Ala". It matches the Rfam family "tRNA". Rfam says of the family: Transfer RNA (tRNA) molecules are approximately 80 nucleotides in length. Their secondary structure includes four short double-helical elements and three loops (D, anti-codon, and T loops). Lineage: Eukaryota; Metazoa; Chordata; Mammalia; Rodentia; Sciuridae. The record is from RNAcentral.
UGUGUUGUGGCUCAGUGGUGGAGUGCUUGCCUGGCAUGUAUGAGUCACUGGUUCAAUCCUAGCACUGCAUAU